GAUGAAGAACGCAGCGAAAUGCGAUAAGUAAUGUGAAUUGCAGAAUUCAGUGAACCAUCGAAUCUUUGAACGCACAUUGCGCCCGCUGGUACUCCGGCGGGCACGCCUGUCCGAGCGUCAUUUCAACCCUCAAGCCCUCCUUCGGGAUGGGCCUGGUGUUGGGGCUCGGCCGCCAUCUCCGGCGGCCGUCCCCUAAAUACAGUGGCGGUCACGUCGCGACUCCUUUGCGUAGUAGAAACACCUCGCUCCGGAUAGCAACGCGGUCCACGCCGUAAAAUCCCCAAUUUUCAAUGGUUGACCUCGGAUCAGGUGGGAAUACCCGCUGAACUUAAGCAUAUCAAUAAGCGGAGGA
Molecule: unclassified non-coding RNA, 352 nt
Filed under: soil metagenome
Description: partial contains 5.8S ribosomal RNA, internal transcribed spacer 2, and large subunit ribosomal RNA
Rfam family: 5.8S ribosomal RNA (bases 1-120)
Source: RNAcentral